CCUUGACUUAGUUGCCAGCAUUCAGUUGGGCACUCUAAGGUGACUGCCGGUGACAAACCGGAGGAAGGUGGGGAUGACGUCAAAUCAUCAUGCCCCUUAUGACCUGGGCUACACACGUGCUACAAUGGACAGAACAAAGGGCUGCAAGACCGCAAGGUUUAGCCAAUCCCAUAAAUCUGUUCUCAGUUCGGAUCGCAGGCUGCAACUCGACUGCGUGAAGCUGGAAUCGCUAGUAAUCGCGGAUCAGCAUGCCGCGGUGAAUACGUUCCCGGGCCUUGUACACACCGCCCGUCACACCACGAGAGUUUGUAACACCCGAAGUCGGUGAAGUAACCUUUAUGAACCCACCCGCCGAGGGUGGGGCAAAUAAUGGGGUU
This 377-nucleotide ribosomal RNA is filed under the name Bacillus sp. 1195. RNAcentral's name for it is "bacterial SSU rRNA". It matches the Rfam family "Bacterial small subunit ribosomal RNA", at positions 1104 to 1481 of the family's 1533-position model. The record is from RNAcentral. Lineage: Bacteria; Bacillati; Bacillota; Bacilli; Caryophanales; Bacillaceae.